RNAcentral lists this non-coding RNA (949 nucleotides) under Ischnocnema guentheri (Steindachner's robber frog). RNAcentral's name for it is "12S ribosomal RNA". It matches the Rfam family "Bacterial small subunit ribosomal RNA". The record is from RNAcentral. Lineage: Eukaryota; Metazoa; Chordata; Amphibia; Anura; Brachycephalidae.
GAGCCUAAAAACUCUCCCGAGCACAAAAGUUUGGUCCCAGCUUUAAAGUCAAUUUUUUCUUAAUUUACACAUGCAAGUCUCCUCAGCCCUGUGAGUAAGCCCCCACCUCCCCCUCGGAAUGAAAGGUCGAUAUAAGGCUCCACAACAGCCCAAAACAUCUAGCAAUAGCCACACCCAUAAGGGAUACAGCAGUGAUUAACAUUAGAUAUAAGUGUCAACUUGAUCCAGUUAAAGAAAUAUGAGGCCGGCAAAAUUAGUGCCAGCCGCCGCGGCUACACUAUAGGCCAUAACUGACUUUUAUCGGCGUAAAGCGUGGUUAAAGCAACUAAAAAAUUAGAGUUAAAUUCUGACUGAAUAGUGCAAUCCCUGUUUACAAGAAAUCCAGAAACGAAAGUUACUCUACCCCACCUCCACUUGAACCCACGAUAGCCAGGAGACAAACUAGGAUCAGACACCCUACUAUGCCUGGCCAUAAACUUUAAAUUACCCUCUAAUCGCCAAGGAACUACGAGCAAAGCUUAAAACCUAAGGGACUUGACGGUGCCCCACAUUCACCUAGAGGAGCCUGUCCUAUAACCGAUACUCCCCGUUAAACCUCACCACUCCUAGCCUUUCAGCCUGUAUACCUCCGUCCAGUUUACCAUGUGAAUGGAUCAGUAAACCUAACCGUCACCCACUAAUACGUCAGGUCGAGGUGCAGCAAAUGUAGUGGAAAGAGAUGGGCUACACUCUCUAUUUUAGAAGACACGAAAGGUCAUAUGCAACCUGACCAGAAGGUGGAUUUAGUAGUAAAAAGAAAGCAGAGCGUUCUUUUUAAACCGACACUGGGGUGUGUACACACCGCCCGUCACCCUCUUCAAGAUAAUACUCAGCAGUAUAUAACAAAACUUUUUUCCUAAGAAGAGGCAAGUCGUAACAUGGUAAGCGUACCGGAAGGUGCGCUUGGUAA